GAUGAACGCUGGCGGCGUGCCUAAUACAUGCAAGUCGAGCGAACAGAUGAGGAGCUUGCUCCUCUGACGUUAGCGGCGGACGGGUGAGUAACACGUGGAUAACCUACCUAUAAGACUGGGAUAACUUCGGGAAACCGGGGCUAAUACCGGAUAAUAUAUUGAACCGCAUGGUUCAAUAGUGAAAGACGGUUUUGCUGUCACUUAUAGGUGGAUCCGCGCCGCAUUAGCUAGUUGGUAAGGUAACGGCUUACCAAGGCAACGAUGCGUAGCCGACCUGAGAGGGUGAUCGGCCACACUGGAACUGAGACACGGUCCAGACUCCUACGGGAGGCAGCAGUAGGGAAUCUUCCGCAAUGGGCGAAAGCCUGACGGAGCAACGCCGCGUGAGUGAUGAAGGUCUUCGGAUCGUAAAACUCUGUUAUUAGGGAAGAACAAAUGUGUAAGUAACUAUGCACGUCUUGACGGUACCUAAUCAGAAAGCCACGGCUAACUACGUG
Molecule: ribosomal RNA, 497 nt
Filed under: uncultured bacterium
Lineage: Bacteria
Description: partial 16S ribosomal RNA
Rfam family: Bacterial small subunit ribosomal RNA
Source: RNAcentral